AUUGAACGCUGGCGGCAGGCCUAACACAUGCAAGUCGAGCGGCAGCGGGAAAGUAGCUUGCUACUUUUGCCGGCGAGCGGCGGACGGGUGAGUAAUGCCUGGGGAUCUGCCCAGUCGAGGGGGUUAACUACUGGAACGGUAGCUAAUACCGCAUACGCCUACCGGGGGAAAGGACAGGGGACCGUUCGGGCCGUUGCGCGGAUUGGAGUGAACCCACGGUGGGAGUUAGCUAGUUGGUGAGGUAAGUAGGCGUCACCAAGGCGGACGAUCCCUACGCUGGUCUGAGAGGAUGAUCAGCCACACUGGAACUGAGACACGGUCCAGACUCCUACGGGAGGC
RNAcentral lists this ribosomal RNA (339 nucleotides) under uncultured bacterium. Its description in RNAcentral is "bacterial SSU rRNA". It matches the Rfam family "Bacterial small subunit ribosomal RNA", at positions 28 to 349 of the family's 1533-position model. The record is from RNAcentral.